This 216-nucleotide transfer RNA is filed under the name Conexibacter woesei DSM 14684. Its description in RNAcentral is "tRNA-Leu (TAG) (tRNA-Leu-TAG-2-1)". The stretch from base 158 to 208 matches the Rfam family "tRNA", at positions 9 to 63 of the family's 71-position model. The record is from RNAcentral. Lineage: Bacteria; Bacillati; Actinomycetota; Thermoleophilia; Solirubrobacterales; Conexibacteraceae.
GCGUCCGUAGCUCAACUGGUCAACGGCGAAUCGAAUAGGCACGUGCGCGAAGGCGAGCGCCAGCCCUCAAGCCGAAGGGAUCGAGACCAAAUCUUCCCCUUAUCGGUGGCUGAUGCCGCGCAAGCGGCCCUUGCUGGAUCGCACACAGCCGAAAGUAAGCUCAAGAGCUCCAGGUUUAGGGCCUGGAAGAUGCGGGUUCGAAUCCCGUCGGGCGCA